CGGCUUCCUCCCAACAUACUUGUGGAAGGACUUUUGGUUAAUCUCCUUUCAGUAUUUACACGAUCGCUGUUCGGCUUGAAAACUUCAGCGAUGAGCCUUUUUCCGACAGAACAGGAAGUGAAAUGAACUAUUUCUGGUCAUUCUCCUUAAGGUUGGUCGUUUAUGGGACACACACUGGUGCAGGCUAGAGCUCCUCUAUAUCUGAAAGCAAUGUUGGGGAAAUGCAUCCAGAUGAACCAGAUUUUUCAAGUUCUGGCAGAAUACUACCGCUUAGCUCUGCCCAUGGGCUUGAGUCUUCUCUG
This 302-nucleotide long non-coding RNA is filed under the name Equus caballus (horse). Its description in RNAcentral is "lncRNA (ENSECAG00000057167.1)". The record is from RNAcentral. Lineage: Eukaryota; Metazoa; Chordata; Mammalia; Perissodactyla; Equidae.